AGCGAACGCUGGCGGCAGGCUUAACACAUGCAAGUCGAGCGGGCAUCCUUGUGGUGUCAGCGGCAGACGGGUGAGUAACGCGUGGGAACGUGCCCUUCGGUUCGGAAUAACUCAGGGAAACUUGAGCUAAUACCGGAUACGUGCGAGAGCAGAAAGGUUUAUCUGCCGAAGGAUCGGCCCGCGUCUGAUUAGCUAGUUGGUGAGGUUAUGGCUCACCAAGGCGACGAUCAGUAGCUGGUCUGAGAGGAUGAUCAGCCACACUGGGACUGAGACACGGCCCAGACUCCUACGGGAGGCAGCAGUGGGGAUUAUUGGACAAUGGGGGCAACCCUGAUCCAGCCAUGCCGCGUGAGUGAUGACGGCCUUAGGGUUGUAAAGCUCUUUUCUCCGGGACGAUAAUGACGGUACCGGAGGAAUAAGCCCCGGCUAACUUCGUG
This 437-nucleotide ribosomal RNA is filed under the name uncultured bacterium. RNAcentral's name for it is "partial 16S ribosomal RNA". It matches the Rfam family "Bacterial small subunit ribosomal RNA", at positions 29 to 507 of the family's 1533-position model. The record is from RNAcentral.